GAUUAUAGCCACACUACCCUGGUUGUGCCUGCACUCAUCUGGUCUUGGAAGCUAAGCUGCAAUGAGCCUGUUUAGUACUUGACGAGGGGAUUGCCUGCUAAUGCUAGGUGCAGCCAGCC
This 119-nucleotide ribosomal RNA is filed under the name Monopterus albus (swamp eel). The record is from RNAcentral. Lineage: Eukaryota; Metazoa; Chordata; Actinopteri; Synbranchiformes; Synbranchidae.